GGGUUGUGAGGUUAAGCGACUAAGCGUACACGGUGGAUGCCCUGGCAGUCAGAGGCGAUGAAGGGCGUGCUAAUCUGCGAUAAGCGCCGGUAAGGUGAUAUGAACCGUUAUAACCGGCGAUACCCGAAUGGGGAAACCCAGUGUGAUUCGUCACACUAUCAUUAACUGAAUCCAUAGGUUAAUGAGGCGAACCGGGGGAACUGAAACAUCUAAGUACCCCGAGGAAAAGAAAUCAACCGAGAUUCCCCCAGUAGCGGCGAGCGAACGGGGAGGAGCCCAGAGCCUGAAUCAGCAUGUGUGUUAGUGGAAGCGUCUGGAAAGGCGCGCGAUACAGGGUGACAGCCCCGUACACAAAAGCGCAUGUGCUGUGAGCUCGAUGAGUAGGGCGGGACACGUGGUAUCCUGUCUGAAUAUGGGGGGACCAUCCUCCAAGGCUAAAUACUCCUGACUGACCGAUAGUGAACCAGUACCGUGAGGGAAAGGCGAAAAGAACCCCGGCGAGGGGAGUGAAAAAGAACCUGAAACCGUGUACGUACAAGCAGUGGGAGCACAGGUUUACCUGUGUGACUGCGUACCUUUUGUAUAAUGGGUCAGCGACUUAUAUUCUGUAGCAAGGUUAACCGUAUAGGGGAGCCGUAGGGAAACCGAGUCUUAACCGGGCGUUAAGUUGCAGGGUAUAGACCCGAAACCCGGUGAUCUAGCCAUGGGCAGGUUGAAGGUUGGGUAACACUAACUGGAGGACCGAACCGACUAAUGUUGAAAAAUUAGCGGAUGACCUGUGGCUGGGGGUGAAAGGCCAAUCAAACCGGGAGAUAGCUGGUUCUCCCCGAAAGCUAUUUAGGUAGCGCCUCGUGAAUUCAUCUCCGGGGGUAGAGCACUGUUUCGGCUAGGGGGUCAUCCCGACUUACCAACCCGAUGCAAACUGCGAAUACCGGAGAAUGUUAUCACGGGAGACACACGGCGGGUGCUAACGUCCGUCGUGAAGAGGGAAACAACCCAGACCGCCAGCUAAGGUCCCAAAGUCAUGGUUAAGUGGGAAACGAUGUGGGAAGGCCCAGACAGCCAGGAUGUUGGCUUAGAAGCAGCCAUCAUUUAAAGAAAGCGUAAUAGCUCACUGGUCGAGUCGGCCUGCGCGGAAGAUGUAACGGGGCUAAACCAUGCACCGAAGCUGCGGCAGCGACGCUUAUGCGUUGUUGGGUAGGGGAGCGUUCUGUAAGCCUGCGAAGGUGGCCUGUGAGGGUUGCUGGAGGUAUCAGAAGUGCGAAUGCUGACAUAAGUAACGAUAAAGCGGGUGAAAAGCCCGCUCGCCGGAAGACCAAGGGUUCCUGUCCAACGUUAAUCGGGGCAGGGUGAGUCGACCCCUAAGGCGAGGCCGAAAGGCGUAGUCGAUGGGAAACGGGUUAAUAUUCCCGUACUUGGUGUUACUGCGAAGGGGGGACGGAGAAGGCUAUGUUGGCCGGGCGACGGUUGUCCCGGUUUAAGCGUGUAGGUGUGUGUUCCAGGUAAAUCCGGUUCACUUUAACACUGAGGCGUGACGACGAGGCACUACGGUGCUGAAGCAACAAAUGCCCUGCUUCCAGGAAAAGCCUCUAAGCAUCAGGUAACAUCAAAUCGUACCCCAAACCGACACAGGUGGUCAGGUAGAGAAUACCAAGGCGCUUGAGAGAACUCGGGUGAAGGAACUAGGCAAAAUGGUGCCGUAACUUCGGGAGAAGGCACGCUGACACGUAGGUGAAGUGAUUUACUCAUGGAGCUGAAGUCAGUCGAAGAUACCAGCUGGCUGCAACUGUUUAUUAAAAACACAGCACUGUGCAAACACGAAAGUGGACGUAUACGGUGUGACGCCUGCCCGGUGCCGGAAGGUUAAUUGAUGGGGUCAGCGCAAGCGAAGCUCCUGAUCGAAGCCCCGGUAAACGGCGGCCGUAACUAUAACGGUCCUAAGGUAGCGAAAUUCCUUGUCGGGUAAGUUCCGACCUGCACGAAUGGCGUAAUGAUGGCCAGGCUGUCUCCACCCGAGACUCAGUGAAAUUGAACUCGCUGUGAAGAUGCAGUGUACCCGCGGCAAGACGGAAAGACCCCGUGAACCUUUACUAUAGCUUGACACUGAACAUUGAGCCUUGAUGUGUAGGAUAGGUGGGAGGCUUUGAAGCGUGGACGCCAGUCUGCGUGGAGCCGACCUUGAAAUACCACCCUUUAAUGUUUGAUGUUCUAACGUGGACCCGUAAUCCGGGUUGCGGACAGUGUCUGGUGGGUAGUUUGACUGGGGCGGUCUCCUCCUAAAGAGUAACGGAGGAGCACGAAGGUUGGCUAAUCCUGGUCGGACAUCAGGAGGUUAGUGCAAUGGCAUAAGCCAGCUUGACUGCGAGCGUGACGGCGCGAGCAGGUGCGAAAGCAGGUCAUAGUGAUCCGGUGGUUCUGAAUGGAAGGGCCAUCGCUCAACGGAUAAAAGGUACUCCGGGGAUAACAGGCUGAUACCGCCCAAGAGUUCAUAUCGACGGCGGUGUUUGGCACCUCGAUGUCGGCUCAUCACAUCCUGGGGCUGAAGUAGGUCCCAAGGGUAUGGCUGUUCGCCAUUUAAAGUGGUACGCGAGCUGGGUUUAGAACGUCGUGAGACAGUUCGGUCCCUAUCUGCCGUGGGCGCUGGAGAACUGAGGGGGGCUGCUCCUAGUACGAGAGGACCGGAGUGGACGCAUCACUGGUGUUCGGGUUGUCAUGCCAAUGGCACUGCCCGGUAGCUAAAUGCGGAAGAGAUAAGUGCUGAAAGCAUCUAAGCACGAAACUUGCCCCGAGAUGAGUUCUCCCUGAGACUUAGAGUCUCCUGAAGGAACGUUGAAGACGACGACGUUGAUAGGCCGGGUGUGUAAGCGCAGCGAUGCGUUGAGCUAACCGGUACUAAUGAACCGUGAGGCUUAACCUUACAACGCCGAAG
This 2929-nucleotide ribosomal RNA is filed under the name Salmonella enterica. Its description in RNAcentral is "23S ribosomal RNA". It matches the Rfam family "Bacterial large subunit ribosomal RNA". The record is from RNAcentral. Lineage: Bacteria; Pseudomonadati; Pseudomonadota; Gammaproteobacteria; Enterobacterales; Enterobacteriaceae.